UAACUUUCAGCAAUGGAUCUCUUGGCUCUCGCAUCGAUGAAGAACGCAGCGAAUUGCGAUAUGUAAUGUGAAUYGCAGAUCKACAGUGAAUCAUCGAAUCUUUGAACGCACAUUGCGCUCCUCGGUGUUCCGAGGAGCAUGCCUGUUUGAGUGUCAGUA
This 159-nucleotide ribosomal RNA is filed under the name Gomphidius glutinosus. RNAcentral describes it as "5.8S ribosomal RNA". It matches the Rfam family "5.8S ribosomal RNA". From Rfam's summary of the family: 5.8S ribosomal RNA (5.8S rRNA) is a component of the large subunit of the eukaryotic ribosome. It is transcribed by RNA polymerase I as part of the 45S precursor that also contains 18S and 28S rRNA. The record is from RNAcentral. Lineage: Eukaryota; Fungi; Basidiomycota; Agaricomycetes; Boletales; Gomphidiaceae.